AACGACUCUCGGCAACGGAUAUCUCGGCUCUCGCAUCGAUGAAGAACGUAGCGAAAUGCGAUACUUGGUGUGAAUUGCAGAAUCCCGUGAACCAUCGAGUCUUUGAACGCAAGUUGCGCCCGAAGCCUUCCGGCCGAGGGCACGUCUGCGCUGGGCGUCACGC
RNAcentral lists this ribosomal RNA (163 nucleotides) under Opuntia pycnantha. Its description in RNAcentral is "5.8S ribosomal RNA". It matches the Rfam family "5.8S ribosomal RNA". Rfam says of the family: 5.8S ribosomal RNA (5.8S rRNA) is a component of the large subunit of the eukaryotic ribosome. The record is from RNAcentral. Lineage: Eukaryota; Viridiplantae; Streptophyta; Magnoliopsida; Caryophyllales; Cactaceae.